Molecule: small RNA, 581 nt
Filed under: bovine gut metagenome
Source: RNAcentral
UGUAUGACGGGUGCAGUAUCCUAGUUGAUACAUCUAUUAUGAAGACGAGCCUAAAAAUUCGUUAAAGAGCAUACCUGUGAAACUUUUGGUGCUUGCUUGUUUCGCCCAGAUUCGGGUGGGUGCUGAAAGGAUAGUUAUUUGGGAAGCUUAUAACGGCAUAUAAGUGUAACCCAUUUAGCGUAGAGACUUAAUCUUGUGCUUUACCGAUAAAAGUACGAAUUAAGAUUAAACCUAUAUCGAGGGGAAACCUUUGUAUAGAGUAGCUUGCCUUGAGUGAGUAUUAUGGGAUUAUAGAUAGUGUGUUUAAUUCAUGGCCAGAAUUAGGGAUACGGUUGACUAUAUGAAAUUGUACUUGCAAAAAAGACUAAUAAUAGAUAAAUAUCAGGGAGGAAAUCUUCUAGGCUGUAUGCUGAUAUAAGAUUGCAGUGCGUACUAAGUGGUAAUCAAGUCGUAUACUUAGGUAACGGUAUAUACGUUCAUUAAAAGGGAACUGCCUUGAGGUAACGAAAGGUUGAAUUGUGGGAAAUCCUACUUGACCUAUGACGCAAAGUUAAUUAUAUUGGUACCAAUCAUAUUUUUUU